RNAcentral lists this transfer RNA (101 nucleotides) under Pyrenophora tritici-repentis. RNAcentral's name for it is "tRNA-Thr". Lineage: Eukaryota; Fungi; Ascomycota; Dothideomycetes; Pleosporales; Pleosporaceae. The record is from RNAcentral.
AUGGAUGUGGGUUAUACCUUUUUGCGUUUUUUAGAGAGUUAUUUGAUGUCGUUGUUCUCCUCUUUUCAUGUUGGGUGAUGGUUGAGACCUAUCUAUCUGUA